AUUUCAUUAAAAUUUCAGUAUUCUGUUUGCUGACAUCUGCGGUUUUACAAGUCUCUCGGAUCAAUGUACAGCGGAGGAGUUGGUGCGUCUAUUAAAUGAACUUUUUGCAAGAUUUGAUCGAUUGGCAGCCGAACAUCAUUGUUUGCGUAUUAAAUUAUUGGGUGAUUGCUAUUAUUGUGUCUCGGGGUUACCAGAACCCCGACCGGAUCAUGCCCAUUGUGCCGUUGAAAUGGGUUUGGAUAUGAUUGAUGCUAUAGCAUUGGUGCGUGAAGUGAUGGCGGUCAAUGUUAACAUGCGUGUGGGCAUCCACACCGGACGUGUACAUUGUGGCGUUUUGGGUUUGGUGAAAUGGCAAUUUGAUGUGUGGUCGAAUGAUGUGACAUUAGCAAAUCACAUGGAGAGUGGCGGCAUAC
This is a long non-coding RNA of Musca vetustissima, 413 nucleotides long. RefSeq lists it as uncharacterized. The transcript has 3 exons. The record is from RefSeq and is a predicted model, not a curated record. Lineage: Eukaryota; Metazoa; Arthropoda; Insecta; Diptera; Muscidae.